UUUCCACCACCGUCCCCACGUGGACGAGUUUUGGCCUUUGGAUCUCACUUGAGCGUUCUAAUCCCAGCCUUUGCUUCAUUUGACUUUUUUAAAUCCACUUUGCAACGCGCUUGACUAAUGCCUACCAUGACCGCGCGCCUCUGAGCCUUUGAUGUUGUCCACGUCAUUUAAUGAACUGGAUCCAACGCUUCCUGAAUUUUCUAUUUUUCUAAUUUCUGUU
This 220-nucleotide long non-coding RNA is filed under the name Lathyrus oleraceus (garden pea). RNAcentral's name for it is "Pisum sativum (pea) long non-coding RNA (PSAT_LNC025159)". Lineage: Eukaryota; Viridiplantae; Streptophyta; Magnoliopsida; Fabales; Fabaceae. The record is from RNAcentral.